GGCUUCGACCCUGGUUCUCCCACCUAUGUGCUUUUCAAACACAUUUGCUGAUAGCAGAUGUAUUAGUCACUGCUCCUAGGCAAGAGUAGUGCCCACGAAAACCGCUCAUUUGGGGUAAAGAAGCAAAGAGUUGGCUUUGUUUCUGGCAUGCAAACGCGAGGUCCUUUGCCAGUGCUGACUUUCACCUUGGGUCUCUGACUGGGGAAAGGGCCUCUGCGCGCAUCUCCAGGUCGUCCUGCUGUCCGGGUCCUGAAGAGCAUGCCCUGCCUUUGCAGGGCGUUUCCGCGAGUUCAUGUGAGCCUCACCUGUUUCAGCCAUUGGAGAUGCUCACGAGCGUCACAUCUUCCACUCAAACACAGAGCACCAUUGUCAGCUGCGUGGGUGGUUGAGGGGUGGGUGAGGAGGUAAAAUUAAUUUAGGCUUUCAAAGGCCUUAGGAAAUAUUCAGAAAACUUAAUGGAGUUUGAGAACUUUGAUUUAUUUUAAGUGUCAAAAGCAGUUUGCAAACCUGCAUGUCCUGUCUAAAUCCACUUUUAUUACAAACACACACACACAUAUAGGUACACACAUAGAAAACAACUCUGCGUGAAACGCAGUGAGCUAUCCACAUUGGUUCUGGGGGAUAAGUGUAAUUAAUUAUCAAGGUUAAGUUAAUGAGCUUUGUCAAAUAGCCAUGGAUUCAAAUUCUGCCCCCCUCACUAAUUGGCUGAGAGAUGUGACAUUGGAUAAGCAGUUUAGCCUUGGUGCAGGUCCAGGGCCUUAUCCGUAGAUUGGCUUUUGAAAUAGUGCCCGCCUCCCAGUUAAGAGCACACUGUAGGUGCGAGCACUACUUACUACUGUUUCUGCUUUUUCCUCCCCUCUUUUCUCCUUAUGUGAACAUGUGUUGCUUUUUGUACUUUGAAAAAUAAAAAGUGAAGUUUCUGUUCUGUUUUUAAGAAUCAGCCAAGGACUGGCAGAACUGUUUUCAUCAAUUUGCAUCUUUGCUUAAAGCCAGUUGUCCGAAAGCCUCUCCAAACAGCUUAAUCUUGAUGAUUUUUCUAGAACUAAUGCUUCCUAGAGAAAUCUCCCACUUUCCUUCAGCACUGGGUAUUUCAGGCUGUGAGCUGCAGGUGCCGAUUAGCCCUCGUGCAUCUCAGCCCCUCUCUACGUGAUGCUGGCAUAAUGACCUCCUGAUGCCAUUUUCCUGGAGGCGGGCGUUUGGGUGAGGGCGGAGUUCCCAACUUCGCUGGACUCUGUUCUUCAACCUAAAAUCCCUUGGCAGGUCUGAAAAUUAAGAGAACAAAGAGCGACAAUCUGAAGAAGGCAGGAGUGGACACUGUGAAAAUGUAGAAUAAGCCUGUUUCUGUGGUUGGACCUUGAGUUUGGGCCUAGGUUCCCUUACAGUUGAGGCUGGAAGAAAACCACGUUGCUUGCUAUUGGCAGGGAAUCAAAACUAUGUCCCACAAGCCCAUCUGCAGAGGUGAUGUUCUCCCUGAAAUUGAACUUCAGUAGGCGCCUCCUUCCCAGGUCCACACGUGAGGCCUUGGGCAACCAGCAAGCAAAGGUAUGCUCACCUGUGGUUUUACAAAAGACACAGAAAUGCAUUUAGAUUGGACGGUUCUUAUAUCAGCACCGCCCCCCCCAUUGGAAUAACCCUGAAUCAUGGCUCAGUGAAGGCGUUUCUGCGAGAAGGAAGGACAAUAACCUCCAGGUACCUUCAUUUUCUGUCUUUCUUAAUGCAGAGGAAGUGAAGGUGGGAGGCUCCAUUAAAACCUGGGUGAGGGGCCUGGGAGUCGGGAGCGUCUAGGCCCAGAGGCCAUCUGUCCAGGCUCCGUCUGUAGCCACAACCAGUCGUGAAAUGAUAAAAUGGUAGAAGCAAAGUAGCAAACACAUUUUCUUGCCUGUUAUAAAAGUGUAUUUGUGUGCUGUGUGUGGGGGGGAAGGAAGUGUAUGUGUGUGCUGUGUGUGUGUGGGUAAGGAAGUGUACGUGUGUGCUGUUUGUGUGUGGGUAAGGAAGUGUACAUGUGUGCUGUGUGUGUGUGGGAUAAGGAAGUGUGUGUGUGUGCUGUGUGUGGGGGGUUAAGGAAGUGUACAUGUGUGCUGUGUGUGUGUGGGAUAAGGAAGUGUACGUGUGUGCUGUGGGGGGGUAAGGAAGAGUACGUGUGUGCUGUGUGUGUGUGGGUAAGGAAGGGUAUUUGUGUGCUGUGUGUGUGUGGGAUAAGGAAGUGUACGUGUGUGCUGUUUGUGUGUGGGUAAGGAAUGUACAUGUGUGCUGUGUGUGGGGGGGAAGGAAGUGUAUGUGUGUGCUGUGUGUGGGGGGGGUAAGGAAGUGUACGUGUGUGCUGUGUGUGUGGGGGUAAGGGGUGAGUGGGGAGAGGAUGCCAUUCAAGCACAGGGCACCCUUUUUAUUUCUUGCUCACACUUUGUGCCCCGUGUGGGUUGACAGAGUCCCUGCACGCACAGUCACUCCGGGACCCAGGUUGACUUUAUCUCCUCUGUCUCGUGCCGUACCGUCUGGCACAGGUGGCCUUCUUGCUCACCACUGGAGAUGGUCACGACAGCGCCUGUAUGCUUUGAUUUGGAAUGUCACCUGUCACUCCCACUAAACAGCCUACUGGUCAGAACCAGUCACAUGACCUUGUGGAAGGUGGGAGUGUAUACUUUGCCCUGGACCCAGACAGAGAAGAAAAUCAGAUGUGUGUGCACAUUCCUCGUCUUUACCAAAGUGAUGCUCCUUUGCCUACAGAGAAAUGAAUUAAUGGGCUCUACUGUUGGUUAAUUCCAUCAGUCUUGGUCAUAGAGAAAAAGACAGGCUUUUGUUCAAAACCUCAUUGUGUUGGACCUCGAGAAUUAUUUAUAACAUGUCAAAAGAAAUGCCACCAGAUGCAGGAUACAUUGAAUUUAGGAAACGUACACUUGAAAAGCAUGUGGGAAAAACCACUUUUGAGUGAAAUUAAGAUAAAUUUAUGAGUGACAGGUUUACAGUGAGAUGACUGCGAUUAUCUUCCUGAUCUCCGCUGGCAGAUUCGAGGAGGAAGAACAUGUGGGUUUUGGUGCUAAGAUGCAAACUGGGGUGUGCGGAUGUGUGGUCCUGGUUCAUCGUAACUUUUCCUUGGUCUCACACCUUGUUGUUCGUUCCCGUUAAGGUAAAAGAAGGACUUGAAUAGGUUUUCAGCAGAAGGAUGAGAGUUAAAAUAUCUUAAAGACGUGUUAAGACAGUAUGUAGUCAGUUUUAGAGUCACAUGACAGCAACAGACAUCAGAGAUAAGCAAAAAUGUCACUGUUUCUGUUAGGUCUUGGUUCAGCGGCAUAAAACAGAAAACCUGAGUUUGGCUUAAACAUAGAAAGGCUUAUGUUCUCACUUAAAAGAAGUCUAGGGCAAAGCAGCUAGUCCAGGACAGAGAGGAGGGUCCCGUAAAGACAUCAAAGACUCUUCGUAAUUUUCUUUUCUGUCUUCUCAGCCAUUUGGCUUCAGUCCUCCAAAGUUUGCCUCUUGAUCAAGAUGCCUCCUGCAGCGCCUCCACUGAGCUCCGUGUGAGCCCAAGCCACAGAAAGCAGGAGGCAGAAGGUGGGAUGAGCCUUCCUGCUGAGUCGGCCCUGUAAGGAGUCUCCCAGAGACGGAGGCGCAGCUCAGCACUCGCUAACAUCUCAUUGGACGAGGCUGUGUCACAUGACUCCACCUGGCUGCAAGGCAGGCUGGGGAAUAGUUUUGCUGUGUUUACCCGAGCACAUUGCCCUGCUGUGUCAUUUGCCUUCUGAGACUAAGGAGAGGUGGAAUGGAAUAUUGUCCACCUGCUAUUGGCGUUGAGAGCUGCCACCUACAGGGCUGCCUGCUUGCCUUGACAGUGAACCUCUCCCACCCCUCACGGGACUCCCAGAUACCUGUCCCCCAAAAGAGAUUUACAGGGGAAGCUUAUCUUUGGGACCUCCGCUUAGACUUUGUAUACACCCCUUCAAUUUUUUGAUUUCUCCCAGGAAUCUAGUGGCGUCACUUCCGAGUCCUGUGCUGUCGUGCCUGCCAGAAUUGCCCUCCUGCCAGUAGCCUGUGCUCUCAACUUGCCUGUUGUUUCUUCCUUAAUUUAGUCUAUCCUGCUGAUCUCAGAUAAGAAGAAAACAAUCAAAUGCAACCACAUUAAAUGAUAUUCUUCAGAGAGCAUAUUCCAAUUAGAAAAUGAAUAUUUUGUGUCAGUUCAGGUAUUAGGGCUGAAGGAAGGGAUGUUUUCAAACACUAAAGAUGGCAAUCAUUUUAAGAACAGGAGCUCCUAGCUUUUAGUAACAGAAAACUGUGUUAUAAGUAGUUUGCACAGUGUGUUAGCUAGCGGGCUGUUAUUCCUCUGGCCCCAGGUCCUCCAUGGUGUCCGUACUGGCACCAAGCCCCAUACGUGUGAAAACAGUCCACCAACUCUGACGGUCGUUGCUUGGUUGUUGGAACUCCCAGUAUGCACCUUCAUCAGUUGUUUGGACCCUGAUGUGGAAAUGUUUCAGUGGUUGCCACGUCCCAGGUACCAUAUCGAAUGUACCCAAUCCUGUAAUAGGAAAAUCUGGGUACAAGGGCAGUUCCCCUUACUAAAUCCUCGGUGAUAAUGGAGGCUUUAAGCCUGUAAGACCAGCCCUCACCUUUUGUGCUCCCUGGGUUGUAGAGGGAACAUCCAUCCUCAGAACAGGAACUUGUCAGAAUCCUUGGAUAUACUGACAAUACAUUGAUGAGACUUGAACGCCGAUAAAUUGUAUAGCUCCCAGGGCUCAGUAGGUCCCCUGUCUCUCUGCUUAUGAAUCAAAAACCCUGUUUAUUUGUAUCAAGGACAGAUGAUACUUUAAUCAUUAAUAAACUAACGUUUCAGCAGCCUGCCAUAAAUUUCUUGUCAAAGAAGGGAUUAUUAUUAGAACCCACUGUGAUGAAAGAUAAUCUCUACCUAGACUCACCUCCCUCACUUUUAAAGCCUGCGGUUGUAGGGCUUGGAGGUUACUACAAGAGGAAAAGCCUCACAAGCAGAAACCCUUGUUUCCUGCUUUCAGCAGGAAAAAAAAAAAAAAUUUGUGAAUUAACCGAUUUGCAUGUUUUGACCAAGAUCCGGCACACGCUCUUUCCCAUGAAUAAAAAAUUGAAUUUUGAGAGCAAAUAUUUUGGUAAGGAAACAGAGAACCGAUAGUAGUAUUCUUUCUGAUGGUAAUUGCUGAACAGGAGCCAUCUUUCAGUAAACGUGGACAUUUAUUAAUUAAUUAUUAAUAGUCAAAUCUGACUCUUUAAUAACAGUGCAGCCGUAGUUAGGAUUUAUUGACAGCUCCGGGCUGCGCGUGGCGCCUCCCUUAUCUUAUUUAAUCUUCCCGACCGCCUCCUUCAGUGGACACCUUCUCCAGCUUAUCCAUGGUUCCUCACUGGCCGAUGAGGAAACUGUGGCUGAAUUAAGUGACUGCCAACGUCAGCCAGCUUUGGAGUGGCAGAGCUGCAAGGAGACAAGGCUGCAUGGCACGGAAGGCGUUUUCUAACUCAGGGCAAUGUACAGUGGGGUCCAGUGAGGCUAUUAAAAAUGAGAUUAUUUCCAGAAGCAGAUGGCGAGCCACGUGGGAAUUCAGUCUUCAUGGUCAUGUUAAGCGGAGACCGAGGUGAUGACAUCGCGCGCCGCCUCCGAGGGAAGCUGGGCCUCAGCUCCCCCGGGGCUGGCAAGAGUGCUUUCAUGAACGGGGCCCUCCUCCUUCCUGGCGGCAUUCAGUCCGGGGGUGCAGCUUGCAGGAGUCAGAAGGAGAGCUGUUUGGAGUAGGCCACAGUCCUGGUCCCAGCUCAGGGGUGCAGGAAUUUGGUUCGUGAGGGUGACGGCGGCGGGAAUGAUGGCUUUUGAGCAGGCAGCCCAAAAGCUCCUGCCACGGGAUCCUCCCUGGCGCCCAUGUCGGCACCCAGUCCCUCCACAUGCCAGUGAGUCUCCUUCUGACAUCAAGCUCCAGGGCGUGUUCCAAGCUCUGCUUUCUGAGAAGGCUGUUCCCUGCACGACCGUCAUGCCUUCUGCUUGGGGAACGUCUGGCCCUUGUUUCUUUUAACCUGUAAGUUCUUUGGUCUGACUUCCCCAGGCAUAGUCCACGAUGCCUCGUAGUCGCGGUUGGCCAUUGAACGGUCACUGAGCCCCAGCUCUGGAGCAGGUUCUGUGUCAGGCUGCCAGGGCCCCCACCACAGAGGACCACAGACUGGGUGGCUUCAACAACCGGAAUUUCCUUCUUUCUGGCUGGAAGUCCAAGGUCAGGGUGGUGGCAGAGUUGGUUUCUCCUGCAGCCUCUCUGAGCCUUGGCGCUGUGUCCUUACGUGGCCAUCCCUCGGCGGGUUAGACGUGUCUCUAGUGUGUGCUCUUCUUACUAGUCCACCGUCACGUUGGGUUAGGGUCCAUCCUAUGAACUCAUUUAACCUUCAUUACCUCUUUAGUGGUGUCACGUUGGGGUAGGGCUUCCACAUAGGAAUUUGCGAGGGACAUAGUUGAGUCUGUGAACCCGCCAUGCUGGGCACGGUGGAUAAGGAGGGAACAGUCCGUACCCUCUGUCACUUUUCAGGGAAGACAGUCUUUCUGUCAUUCUUGUCAAUCUCGUAAUUAAAUAAUCACGAGAUGGUUACUGCUGUGGCAGAGUGUAAGGGCUUAACUAGUGUGGCUUAGAAAAGGCCACUCCAGCCUCGUCUAGGGGUAGGGUUUUCCCUGGGGAGGGGAGGUUGGAAUUAGGGAUGAAAGGGGGAGCUGGCUGUUGGUGGAAGACGGGCCUCAGGCCAGGAGGAAAGCAAACAGUAGGUGUCAUCAGGACUCUCAGGCACAGUCCUGUCUGGACACAGCACGUUCCAGCAGCUGAACGGCAGCCAGAGCGGCGCAGGCCUAGAAAACGGGGUGAGAGACUGUUCACAAGCACGCGGGGUCCAUCGUUAUAUCCCUUAUGAUCCCACAGUGUCUGACGCUGUGGGAUUGCAGCGAAUUUGCGUAAGAAAAGUUUGCGAUUCCACUGUUGCCAUCCUGUGUGUUGAAAUAAGAAAUUCUCCAAACUUCCGGGUGCCUAAGACUCAAUCAUGAACUUAACUUUAAAAAUGUCACUUCAUGGAGUUCCCGUCAUGGCGCAGUGGUUAACAAAUCCGACUAGGAACCAUGAGGUUGCGGGUUUGGUCCCUGCCCUUGCUCAGUGGGUUAACGAUCCGGCGUUGCUGUGAGCUGCGGUGUAGGUUGCAGACGCGGCUCGGAUCCUGCGUUGCUGUGGCUCUGGCUUAGGCCAGCGGCUACAGCUCCGAUUCGACCCCUAGCCUGGGAACCUCCAUAUGCC
Molecule: long non-coding RNA, 7259 nt
Filed under: Sus scrofa (pig)
Lineage: Eukaryota; Metazoa; Chordata; Mammalia; Artiodactyla; Suidae
Description: lncRNA (ENSSSCG00040002712.1)
Source: RNAcentral